UGUAAAAGGCAGAGGUAGCUUCUAAAUAGAAGUUUGAGAAAUACUCUUAGAACCUGAUCUAGUUAAUACUAGCGUAGGAAGACCUAAACAUAAAAAA
Molecule: non-coding RNA, 97 nt
Filed under: Spiroplasma apis
Lineage: Bacteria; Bacillati; Mycoplasmatota; Mollicutes; Entomoplasmatales; Spiroplasmataceae
Also listed under: 1 other name
Description: TPP sequence
Rfam family: TPP riboswitch aptamer (THI element)
About the family: Vitamin B(1) in its active form thiamin pyrophosphate (TPP) is an essential coenzyme that is synthesised by coupling of pyrimidine and thiazole moieties in bacteria. The previously detected thiamin-regulatory element, thi box was extended, resulting in a new, highly conserved RNA secondary structure, the THI element, which is widely distributed in eubacteria and also occurs in some archaea.
Source: RNAcentral